CGGAUAGUAGUUCAGUUGGAAGAACAACCAUUGCGGUAACGGUAGUAGGUGGAGUCACAGGUUCGAUUCCUGUCUAUCCGA
This 81-nucleotide transfer RNA is filed under the name Agathobacter rectalis. RNAcentral's name for it is "[Eubacterium] rectale tRNA-Pro". It matches the Rfam family "tRNA". Rfam says of the family: Transfer RNA (tRNA) molecules are approximately 80 nucleotides in length. Their secondary structure includes four short double-helical elements and three loops (D, anti-codon, and T loops). Lineage: Bacteria; Bacillati; Bacillota; Clostridia; Lachnospirales; Lachnospiraceae. The record is from RNAcentral.